RNAcentral lists this long non-coding RNA (450 nucleotides) under Chloebia gouldiae (Gouldian finch). Its description in RNAcentral is "Erythrura gouldiae (Gouldian finch) lncRNA (ENSEGOG00005005977.1)". The record is from RNAcentral. Lineage: Eukaryota; Metazoa; Chordata; Aves; Passeriformes; Passeridae.
UUAUUUCUACCAAGAGCCCUUCACUGGUGUGGUUCUGCUCCGUAUUCCUGCACAGCCAGACAGUGCCUGGGUAUCCCAGCUGUUCCUUUAUCCCAAAAUACCCCGGGUGCCUCACUGGAAGCCUCCUGCCUGCACCGUGCAAUGCCACAGAUGAGGACAGCAGGACCCACAGAUUUCCAAAACAAGUUUCCAAGGAAGCCCCAGAGCUGGAGAACAAAGGUUGAACUUUCUUAGGAUGUCUGAGCAUCUCCAGGGGCAUUAAGGACUUCAGGAUGAAGGAAGCAGCUCAGAGAUUGGUUAUGACAUACCCCAGGUCACAAAAGCUUGUUUUCCAAAGGAAACAUUUGCCAUCUCACUCCCAGCUUUGAUUUGCCUGUCCCUGCUCACUUGCCAGAGCUUGUUCUGCAACAUUAACAGGGAAGUUUCUUUGCACAGAGCCAAUUGUGCCCG